Molecule: ribosomal RNA, 427 nt
Filed under: uncultured bacterium
Lineage: Bacteria
Description: bacterial SSU rRNA
Rfam family: Bacterial small subunit ribosomal RNA
Source: RNAcentral
UAGGGAAUAUUGGACAAUGGGGGCAACCCUGAUCCAGCCAUGCCGCGUGAGUGAAGAAGGCCCUCGGGUUGUAAAGCUCUUUUGUCCGGAAAGAAAAGCAUUCGGUGAAUACCCGGAUGUUCUGACGGUACCGGAAGAAUAAGCACCGGCUAACUCCGUGCCAGCAGCCGCGGUAAUACGGAGGGUGCAAGCGUUAUCCGGAUUCACUGGGUUUAAAGGGUGCGUAGGCGGAUAUGUAAGUCAGUGGUGAAAUCAACGGGCUCAACCUGUUAACUGCCAUUGAUACUGUGUAUCUUGAAUAUGAGAGAGGUAGGCGGAAUGUUGCAUGUAGCGGUGAAAUGCUUAGAUAUGCUACGGAACACCGAUUGCGAAGGCAGCUUACUAUUUCGUAAUUGACGCUGAGGCACGAAAGCGUGGGUAGCGAACA